RNAcentral lists this ribosomal RNA (429 nucleotides) under uncultured bacterium. RNAcentral describes it as "bacterial SSU rRNA". It matches the Rfam family "Bacterial small subunit ribosomal RNA", at positions 355 to 776 of the family's 1533-position model. The record is from RNAcentral.
UCGAGAAUCAUUCACAAUGGGGGCAACCCUGAUGGUGCAACGCCGCGUGGAGGAUGAAGGUCUUCGGAUUGUAAACUCCUGUCAUCCGGGAGCAAGACCUGGCAGUGAAUAGCUGACAGGGUUGAUAGUACCGGAAGAGGAAGGGACGGCUAACUUCGUGCCAGCAGCCGCGGUAAUACGAAGGUCCCGAGCGUUGUUCGGAAUCACUGGGCGUAAAGGGAGCGUAGGCGGCGUGGAAAGUCAGAUGUGAAAUCCCAGAGCUUAACUCUGGAACUGCAUCCGAUACUACCAUGCUAGAGUAUUGGAGGGGUAACUGGAAUUCUCGGUGUAGCAGUGAAAUGCGUGGGUAUCGAGAGGAACACUCGUGGCGAAAGCGAGUCACUGGACAAUUACUGACGCUGAGGCUCGAAGGCCAGGGGAGCAAAAGGG